CCUCGGCGACGCUGCUCAGCAGGGCCAGAGCGGCCAGGGUGGGCCACAGGGCAGGCUGCUGGAAGAGACAAUGGGGAGCCUCAGGGGGUCAAGCCACCUUUCCUCAAUACCCAGUAGAAGUCUGUGGGAGAACUGCUCACCUGCCUCCUAGGCCCAGCCCGGAGGGGCAGCACAGAAGGGCCUCCACGUCCAGGUUCCAUCUCUGUCAACACCAGGAGCUCCCAUCAGUUGUAGCCGACCUGUUCCCCCACCCUCCUCUUGAGGCAGCUUGGAACAUGGAGUUAUCCUCAGAGCAGGUCAUCCCUCCACUUCAGCUUCUCCAGACUCAUCGCACUCCUCAACUCCGCAAGGCACCGAGCUGGGGCUUUCAAAGUCCGACCCGGCUCUAGCGGCCCCAGCCCCUCCGCUAGACCCAGCGCUUCCCCUCCGCUGCCGCCUGGGGCUUGGAGUACAGACACACCUGAAAAGGCCGCUGCUCAGCCCAGCACAGCGCGGGCAGAGUGGUAGGAGUCGGUGCUGGGGCUGAAGAAGAGCGGGGUCCUGGAGGAGGAAGGUUUGCACCGAGGGUUGAGGAAAGUCAGAGAAAGCGAGAGGAGGCAGGCUCAGGGAAGAGCUUUAUUGCUUCCAUGAUGGCUGCCCAGCAGGGCUGCCGCA
Odocoileus virginianus texanus is the source of this 654-nucleotide non-coding RNA. The record is from RefSeq and is a predicted model, not a curated record. Lineage: Eukaryota; Metazoa; Chordata; Mammalia; Artiodactyla; Cervidae.